CCUGAUUAGCUAGUUGGUGAGGUAAAGGCUUACCAAGGCGACGAUCAGUAGCUGGUCUGAGAGGACGACCAGCCACACUGGGACUGAGACACGGCCCAGACUCCUACGGGAGGCAGCAGUGGGGAAUUUUGGACAAUGGGGGAAACCCUGAUCCAGCCAUGCCGCGUGAGUGAAGAAGGCCUUCGGGUUGUAAAGCUCUUUCAGCCGGAACGAAACGGUCACGGCUAAUACCUGUGACUACUGACGGUACCGGAAGAAGAAGCACCGGCUAACUACGUGCCAGCAGCCGCGGUAAUACGUAGGGUGCAAGCGUUAAUCGGAAUUACUGGGCGUAAAGCGUGCGCAGGCGGUUUUGUAAGUCAGAUGUGAAAUCCCCGGGCUUAACCUGGGAACUGCGUUUGAAUC
This 405-nucleotide ribosomal RNA is filed under the name uncultured ammonia-oxidizing bacterium. Its description in RNAcentral is "bacterial SSU rRNA". It matches the Rfam family "Bacterial small subunit ribosomal RNA", at positions 236 to 633 of the family's 1533-position model. The record is from RNAcentral.